Molecule: transfer RNA, 71 nt
Filed under: Loxodonta africana (African savanna elephant)
Lineage: Eukaryota; Metazoa; Chordata; Mammalia; Proboscidea; Elephantidae
Rfam family: tRNA
About the family: Transfer RNA (tRNA) molecules are approximately 80 nucleotides in length. Their secondary structure includes four short double-helical elements and three loops (D, anti-codon, and T loops). Further hydrogen bonds mediate the characteristic L-shaped molecular structure. tRNAs have two regions of fundamental functional importance: the anti-codon, which is responsible for specific mRNA codon recognition, and the 3' end, to which the tRNAs corresponding amino acid is attached (by aminoacyl-tRNA synthetases). tRNAs cope with the degeneracy of the genetic code in two manners: having more than one tRNA (with a specific anti-codon) for a particular amino acid; and 'wobble' base-pairing, i.e. permitting non-standard base-pairing at the 3rd anti-codon position.
Source: Rfam by way of RNAcentral
ACAUUGGUGAUUCAGUGGUAGAAUUCUUGCCCUCCAUACAAGAGACCCAGGUUCCAUUCCCAGCCACUGCC